RNAcentral lists this ribosomal RNA (909 nucleotides) under uncultured bacterium. RNAcentral describes it as "bacterial SSU rRNA". It matches the Rfam family "Bacterial small subunit ribosomal RNA", at positions 1 to 901 of the family's 1533-position model. The record is from RNAcentral. RNAcentral also lists the same sequence under 1 other name.
GGAUCCAGACUUUGAUUCUGGCUCAUGAUGAACGCUAGCUACAGGCUUAACACAUGCAAGUCGAGGGGAAACGAUAUCGAAAGCUUGCUUUUGAUGGGCGUCGACCGGCGCACGGGUGAGUAACGCGUAUCCAACCUGCCCACCACUUGGGGAUAACCUUGCGAAAGUAAGACUAAUACCCAAUGACGUCUCUAGAAGACAUCUGAAGGAGAUUAAAGAUUUAUCGGUGAUGGAUGGGGAUGCGUCUGAUUAGCUUGUUGGCGGGGUAACGGCCCACCAAGGCGACGAUCAGUAGGGGUUCUGAGAGGAAGGUCCCCCACAUUGGAACUGAGACACGGUCCAAACUCCUACGGGAGGCAGCAGUGAGGAAUAUUGGUCAAUGGGCGAGAGCCUGAACCAGCCAAGUAGCGUGCAGGAUGACGGCCCUAUGGGUUGUAAACUGCUUUUAUAAGGGAAUAAAGUGAGUCUCGUGAGACUUUUUGCAUGUACCUUAUGAAUAAGGACCGGCUAAUUCCGUGCCAGCAGCCGCGGUAAUACGGAAGGUCCGGGCGUUAUCCGGAUUUAUUGGGUUUAAAGGGAGCGUAGGCCGGAGAUUAAGCGUGUUGUGAAAUGUAGACGCUCAACGUCUGCACUGCAGCGCGAACUGGUUUCCUUGAGUACGCACAAAGUGGGCGGAAUUCGUGGUGUAGCGGUGAAAUGCUUAGAUAUCACGAAGAACUCCGAUUGCGAAGGCAGCUCACUGGAGCGCAACUGACGCUGAAGCUCGAAAGUGCGGGUAUCGAACGGGAUUAGAUACCCUGGUAGUCCGCACGGUAAACGAUGGAUGCCCGCUGUUGGUCUGAAUAGGUCAGCGGCCAAGCGAAAGCAUUAAGCAUCCCACCUGGGGAGUACGCCGGCAACGGUGCAACU